ACUCUCUUCCUCUAGCUUGGUCGAAACCCUCACUCUCACUCUCACACUCAUUAAUAAGUUCAUCUUUAGUUCAUCAACACACUCAUCCAACUAAGUUUGGCAGCCUAAUAACCUUCUACAACUUCAAGCUGAGGUCAAAACUUGGAUGCAAAGGGUAGGAUUUGAAGAAGGCUUGUGAAGACCCUUUUGAGGAGGAAGAAGAAGAGAUUGAGUUUUUGGCUGAAACAUCUGAUGUUGUUGAGGGUGAAGAUGAGGGCAUUGACUUUGACUUUGAUUAUUUGUUAUUUUUCUUACUGGUUUGCUCUUCCAGUCUCUCAAUCAUCUAAGAAUGUGGUGCAGUUCACUUCACAUCAACAAAUAAUAAUGACCGCGGAGUUGGAGAUUUCGAUAUGGAGAGAUUUCAACUUUUCGAGUCUUUCUUCUUUCCUUGGACAGUGACUGUGAGACUUAAGUCUCUUGCAUUGUGUCUAAAUCCCCUGCUGCAACAGCGACGGAGCUAGACUUUGGGAAGAAGUGGGGCUUUCAAUAGAUUUAGAGUUUUAGUGAGGGCUUUUAUGUUAUUUUCUUUAGUUAUGUUAAAGUAUUUAAUUAAAAUUUCAAAUAAAAAUUUUUUUUGAGGUGGGGCUUGAGCCUUCACAUUGGCCUUACUACCCUCGUCCCUGGCUGCAAUAAUUUCUUGCCUCCCACCAACAACUAACUUGAAAAUAUAAUAUUCUUGCUAAACUUUUAAGUUUGGAAGAACUAGUGUUGUAAGUGAAAACUUUGAGGGGGUUUUUUACUACAAUGGUCACCAUGUUUGACUAAUGUGGUUGGACGACAUAAAACCGCAGUUUUGUAGUAGUGAGUGACCCUUGCAAUAUGCCUAGAGUCCUUUUGCUUAACUCCUGUGUUGUGUCUUUAUUUGCAGCAUACUAGUUCGAUUCGAGUCCUGAUGGUAAGCUUCGUGUAGUUGUUGGCGACAAUCAGCAGGGUAUGUUAGUGGACUCCCAAACU
Molecule: long non-coding RNA, 993 nt
Organism: Humulus lupulus (European hop)
Lineage: Eukaryota; Viridiplantae; Streptophyta; Magnoliopsida; Rosales; Cannabaceae
Exons: 4
Source: RefSeq, a predicted model, not a curated record